Molecule: long non-coding RNA, 379 nt
Organism: Myxocyprinus asiaticus (Chinese sucker)
Lineage: Eukaryota; Metazoa; Chordata; Actinopteri; Cypriniformes; Catostomidae
Exons: 3
Source: RefSeq, a predicted model, not a curated record
CUGGUGUUCCUCCUGUCAAGACAUAACUUGUUCCUCCAGACUGACUUCUGCUUUGCUUUGAAUGCUGUUUGGUAGUAGUGUCAAAGCUUUUGAUGACUGCUUUGCUUUGAAUGAUCUGCAUCUGUGGAUUUGAGUCGGAGACAUCCUGCUCUAGGCAAUUUUGGCCCAGCAUCUUCCGUGCUCCUCAGUUUUGCUUUGAUGCAGAGCUGAAACUUGAGCGAGACAAUGCAGCAUACAAAGAGAAGGGUACAUUGUUUACUCCAGAUCCUAAACUUAAGUUGAACAUUCUUGAAGGCCUGGUUCAAGAAAUUGUCCGAUACAAAGUUUAUGUCACUGAUAAAGAGUUUAACACAGAUGGAGAGGCCCUCAUCUCUAAACA